AUGCAUGCAAGUCGAGCGAAGCUUUUCAGUAGUUUACUACAGAAAAUGACUGAGCGGCGAACGGGUGAGUAACGCGUGAGCAACCUACCUUAGUUACUGGGAUAGCCCGAGGAAACUCGGAUUAAUACCGGAUAUUCUUAUUAAAUCACAUGAUUUUUUAAGGAAAGGUCAGCCGAACUAAGAUGGGCUCGCGUUCUAUCAGCUAGUUGGUAGGGUAAUGGCCUACCAAGGCUACGACGGAUAGCUGGUCUGAGAGGACGAUCAGCCACACUGGGACUGAGACACGGCCCAGACUCCUACGGGAGGCUGCAGCAGGGAAUAUUGCGCAAUGAGCGAAAGCUUGACGCAGCGACACCGCGUGUGGGAUGACGGAUCUAGGUUUGUAAACCACUUUCAGGAGGGAAGAAAAUGACGGUACCUCCACAAGAAGCCCCGGCCAACUAGUGCCAGCAGCCGCGGUAAUACGUAGGGGGCGAGCGUUGUCCGGAUUUAUUGGGCGUAAAGAGCUCGUAGGCGGUUCAACAAGUCGGUCGUGAAAGUUCAGGGCUCAACCCUGAAAUGUCGAUCGAUACUGUUGUGACUAGGAUACGGUAGAGGUGAGUGGAAUUCCGAGUGUAGCGGUGAAAUGCGUAGAUAUUCGGAGGAACACCAAUUGCGAAGGCAGCUCACUGGGCCGCUAUCGACGCUGAGGAGCGAAAGCUAGGGGAGCAAACAGGAUUAGAUACCCUGGUAGUCCUAGCUGUAAACGAUGGAUACUAGACGUAGGAAUUGGAUUAACGAUUUCUGUGUCGUAGCUAACGCGUUAAGUAUCCCGCCUGGGGAGUACGGUCGCAAGACUAAAACUCAAAGGAAUUGACGGGACCCCGCACAAGCGGCGGAGCAUGCGGCUUAAUUCGAUGAUACCCGUAGAACCUUACCUGGACUUGACAUAUAGGGAAAAGUUAUAGAAAUAUAAUGUGCAUUAGCGCCCUAUACAGGUGGUGCAUGGCUGUCGUCAGCU
This 1000-nucleotide ribosomal RNA is filed under the name uncultured Actinomycetes bacterium. RNAcentral describes it as "bacterial SSU rRNA". It matches the Rfam family "Bacterial small subunit ribosomal RNA", at positions 51 to 1060 of the family's 1533-position model. Lineage: Bacteria; Bacillati; Actinomycetota; Actinomycetes. The record is from RNAcentral.